RNAcentral lists this ribosomal RNA (434 nucleotides) under uncultured bacterium. Its description in RNAcentral is "bacterial SSU rRNA". It matches the Rfam family "Bacterial small subunit ribosomal RNA", at positions 32 to 449 of the family's 1533-position model. The record is from RNAcentral.
AAUCAACGCUGGCGGCGUGCCUCAGACAUGCAAGUCGAACGAGAACCUCCCUUCGGGGAGGGGACAGUGGCGCACGGGUGAGUAACACGUGGGUAAUUUACCUUUGGGUGGGGAACAACAGCCGGAAACGGCUGCUAAUACCGCAUAAUGCAGCGGCUCGACAUCGAGACAGUUGUUAAAGCGGGGGAUCGCAAGACCUCGCGCCUGAAGAGAAGCCUGCGGCGGAUUAGCAGUUGGUAGGGUAAUGGCCUACCAAGGCGACGAUCUGUAACCGGCCUGAGAGGGCGGUCGGUCACACUGACACUGACAUACGGGUCAGACUCCUACGGGAGGCAGCAGUCGGGAAUUUUGGGCAAUGGGCGAAAGCCUGACCCAGCAACGCCGCGUGAAGAAUGAAGCUUUUCGGAGUGUAAACUUCAUAAGAAUGGGAAGAA